UGCGGGGUGGUGUAAUUGGUAACACACCUGCCUUUGGAGCAGGUGAUUGUAGGUUCGAGGCCUACCCCCGCAG
This 73-nucleotide transfer RNA is filed under the name Candidatus Parcubacteria bacterium. Its description in RNAcentral is "tRNA-Gln". It matches the Rfam family "tRNA". From Rfam's summary of the family: Transfer RNA (tRNA) molecules are approximately 80 nucleotides in length. Lineage: Bacteria; Candidatus Parcubacteria. The record is from RNAcentral.